Molecule: long non-coding RNA, 233 nt
Filed under: Amborella trichopoda
Lineage: Eukaryota; Viridiplantae; Streptophyta; Magnoliopsida; Amborellales; Amborellaceae
Description: long non-coding RNA (ATRI_LNC000133)
Source: RNAcentral
GGAUCUUGUUCGUUUGUAUUGGUUGGUCGAUAGGAAUCGGUUUGUCGAUGGGAAGGAGAGCUCGAACCUUAGCAAUCUCGGUUAGAUCGGCUGCAUCCAAAUUCGCUCUUCCGGGAGCAUGCAAAUACAGAGGCCCCUUCCAUCAAUGACAUUCUCAACAAGUAGUGAAGAGCCCCCUUGGGAAAGGACAUUUGGGAGAGAGACAGAGGUACUCGAAAUCAUAGCCACGUCAG